AAACUAUAGAGACCGCUGUUCUUCUUUAAACCAGAGGAAGGAUACGGCAAUAACAGGUCUGUGAUGCCCUCAGAUGUUCCGGGCUGCACACGUGCUACAAUGAUCAUUGCACUGUGCAUCUAACCCAAUGUGCGCGGACGCCGCCGUGCGUAUAUACUUUAUUGUGUAUGCGUAUCGUGCGUGCGACCGCGCCGAACCUGCUUCGAAAGUAAACAUUUCCAGCGGGUAAUCCAUUAGAAGUAAUGACUCGCAUAGACCAUGGCACACUAUAUGUACCCGCGGGUUCUACCCGGCUCGCCUUUGUGUGAGUGCAGUGCGUAGCUCGUUGUUUGGUACGUGCCACUCCGUAUUAAUUCAUACGUGGGGAUAGAUCAUUGUUUAAUUGUUGGUCUCGGUCUUAACUAGGAAUGCCUUGUACGGGUCUUUGGUUCAACAUACCACCCGGAAUACGUCCCUGCCCUUUGUACACACCGCCCGUCGCUCUUACCGAUGGAUUAUACUAUGAAUCUAUAGGACUGCCAAAGUUGCUCUUCGCGGCGCGCUUAGUGGAAAUAUAUAUGAAUAGUGGAUCUAAAGAA
RNAcentral lists this ribosomal RNA (578 nucleotides) under Ammonia sp. genotype T6. RNAcentral's name for it is "SSU rRNA". It matches the Rfam family "Eukaryotic small subunit ribosomal RNA", at positions 1408 to 1780 of the family's 1831-position model. The record is from RNAcentral. Lineage: Eukaryota; Foraminifera; Rotaliida; Rotaliidae.